ACAUCUUCAUACAUUCUAUAGCUCUGUAACUCACCAUCUCUCCUAUCGAGGAAAAGGAAAAGCACAGAAUCUCUGCCUCAUUUACAAACUCGCGUUACAUUCUUUUGUACCCAAACAUGUUAGGAUAGUAAGUGUGAGGACAGUAAGAUUUACGUAGAAAAGGAAUAGAGAUGAAGAAAAGCAGAGAAUAGAGAUGAAGAAAAACAGAGAAGAAGAAGAAGAACUUUAGCACUGAUUCUUUUUAUUAAUUGCUUACUAUUCUCUUAUCUCACAUAUGUUUAUAUAUGCUAUAGUAGAAAGGUUAUACACGUUAUCUAGUCUCUCUUUAUUUGCACUGAAACAAUGCUAACUAAUUCUCUUAACUGACAAACAAUACUAACAACUACUAACAGCAUUCUAACAAUUUCAUUCUCUAAUCUUUUGACAUGUGGCAGGACUAGAGCCUGUGAUAUCUUUACAUUCCCCCUCAAUCGCAGGCUUGGAGGAGCCAAGCAUGAGAUUGGAACAGUGGUGCCUUGAUACAAAAUGAUAAUCAAUCUGGAGGUCUUGUAAACUGAAGGUCUUUAGUUCGAUCCUGCAUUUUCCAAACCUGAUGAUCAUCAAUUUCAACACCUUCAAGAUCAGAAUCUGCAUCAAAUCGACUUGGACAUUUUCUUGAGUCAUCAACAAAUCCUAAAAUAUCAUGACUCUCAAGUAGAAUUUGCAUCUGAAAAUUCCAUAUAAGAUAAUUUGUGUCAUCCAGCUUGACUGUUACAGCUGUUGAAACCGUAGGAAGUAAACAGGUAAUAGAAGAUUGAACAAUUUGAAGUUGAGAAGUAGUCACCAUUUUUAGAGUUCAAGAGACAGAGAGGAAGAGAAUUACAGAUUUGAGAAGAGAGUUGAAGAAGCUAGA
RNAcentral lists this long non-coding RNA (892 nucleotides) under Populus trichocarpa (black cottonwood). Its description in RNAcentral is "long non-coding RNA (PTRI_LNC001211)". The record is from RNAcentral. Lineage: Eukaryota; Viridiplantae; Streptophyta; Magnoliopsida; Malpighiales; Salicaceae.